This 257-nucleotide long non-coding RNA is filed under the name Setaria viridis. Its description in RNAcentral is "long non-coding RNA (SVIR_LNC008932)". Lineage: Eukaryota; Viridiplantae; Streptophyta; Magnoliopsida; Poales; Poaceae. The record is from RNAcentral.
CAUUCUAUGUACAUAAUGCACCCGACCAAUCGGCGCAACCAUCUAACCAGGCGCGCAACCACUUCCUCUUCCGAAGCUUCCCAAGCCGAACCGCUUCUGCGCCCCGCGCGCCUGGACCAGAUCCACCCUGGCAUUUAACUCCCCGUAGGGGGCCCACCCACUCCCCUGCAGUUUCAAUUCUUGUUCCCAUUUCUUUUCCGCCCCUUCCCGCUCCAUUACUCUCCCUUGCUUGCUGUGCGCGCUCGCAGGAUUCUGCC